Molecule: ribosomal RNA, 253 nt
Filed under: uncultured bacterium
Lineage: Bacteria
Description: partial 16S ribosomal RNA
Rfam family: Bacterial small subunit ribosomal RNA
Source: RNAcentral
UACGUAGGGUGCGAGCGUUAAUCGGAAUUACUGGGCGUAAAGCGUGCGCAGGCGGUGAUGUAAGACAGUUGUGAAAUCCCCGGGCUCAACCUGGGAAUUGCAUUGGAAACUAACGGGCUCGAGUGUGGCAGAGGGGGGUGGAAUUCCACGUGUAGCAGUGAAAUGCGUAGAGAUGUGGAGGAACACCGAUGGCGAAGGCAGCCCCCUGGGCUAACACUGACGCUCAGGCACGAAAGCGUGGGGAGCAAACAGG